RNAcentral lists this ribosomal RNA (496 nucleotides) under uncultured bacterium. RNAcentral's name for it is "partial 16S ribosomal RNA". It matches the Rfam family "Bacterial small subunit ribosomal RNA", at positions 28 to 506 of the family's 1533-position model. The record is from RNAcentral.
GAUGAACGCUGGCGGCGUGCCUAAUACAUGCAAGUCGAGCGAACGGACGAGAAGCUUGCUUCUCUGAUGUUAGCGGCGGACGGGUGAGUAACACGUGGAUAACCUACCUAUAAGACUGGGAUAACUUCGGGAAACAGGAGCUAAUACCGGAUAAUAUUUUGAACCGCAUGGUUCAAAAGUGAAAGACGGUCUUGCUGUCACUUAUAGAUGGAUCCGCGCUGCAUUAGCUAGUUGGUAAGGUAACGGCUUACCAAGGCAACGAUGCAUAGCCGACCUGAGAGGGUGAUCGGCCACACUGGAACUGAGACACGGUCCAGACUCCUACGGGAGGCAGCAGUAGGGAAUCUUCCGCAAUGGGCGAAAGCCUGACGGAGCAACGCCGCGUGAGUGAUGAAGGUCUUCGGAUCGUAAAACUCUGUUAUUAGGGAAGAACAUAUGUGUAAGUAACUGUGCACAUCUUGACGGUACCUAAUCAGAAAGCCACGGCUAACUACGU